UGGGGAAUUUUGCGCAAUGGGCGAAAGCCUGACGCAGCAACGCCGCGUGUGUGAUGAAGGUCUUCGGAUCGUAAAGCACUUUCGACCGGGACGAAUACCCGUUGGCUAACAUCCAGCGGUUUGACGGUACCGGGAGAAGAAGCACCGGCUAACUCUGUGCCAGCAGCCGCGGUAAUACAGAGGGUGCAAGCGUUGUUCGGAAUUAUUGGGCGUAAAGCGCGUGUAGGCGGCUUUGCAAGUCGGGUGUGAAAGCCCUCAGCUUAACUGAGGAAGUGCGCCCGAAACUGCAUUGCUUGAGUACCGGAGAGGGUGGCGGAAUUCCCCAAGUAGAGGUGAAAUUCGUAGAUAUGGGGAGGAACACCGGUGGCGAAGGCGGCCACCUGGACGGCUACUGACGCUGAGACGCGAAAGCGUGGGGGAGCGAAACAGGAUUAGAUACCCUGGUAGUCCACGCUGUAAACGAUGAGAACUAGGUGUCGUGGGAGUUGACCCCCGCGGUGCCGAAGCUAA
RNAcentral lists this ribosomal RNA (510 nucleotides) under uncultured Pseudomonadota bacterium. RNAcentral describes it as "bacterial SSU rRNA". It matches the Rfam family "Bacterial small subunit ribosomal RNA", at positions 355 to 855 of the family's 1533-position model. Lineage: Bacteria; Pseudomonadati; Pseudomonadota. The record is from RNAcentral.